Molecule: long non-coding RNA, 1211 nt
Organism: Rosa rugosa (rugosa rose)
Lineage: Eukaryota; Viridiplantae; Streptophyta; Magnoliopsida; Rosales; Rosaceae
Exons: 3
Source: RefSeq, a predicted model, not a curated record
AAUUAAAUUCUGUGGAUUUUUAGAAAUGAUUUCACGAUAGUGGGAGCGAGUACGAGGCUCGGAGGAAUUGUGGAAUUAGUUCGAACGAUUAAUUUUCGAAAAAACGAACGUUAUUUAGGGGGUCUCAAAAAGUGACUUUUUAUACAUUGGGAAUUUGGGAAAACUUCCUUCAUGAAAGUUGUAGAGGACAUUAAACCGAGUGCGUGCAUAUGUGGUACGUAAAAAUCGGAGUUCGUAUGCGAAAGUUAUAAGCAAAAUAUGAAAGUUACUGUUUAUGGUAGAUUGGUAUAAAUUUGAAAUGUUACUGUAGCCAGGUAACUUUUCUUUCUUUUCUCUCUCCUUCCCCCGUGCUCUCUCAGUCUCUCUCUUCUGCAACUCUCUCUUUCUCUCUUCUGCAACCUCCUCUUUCACCACCUCUAGACCACCAAAUGGCGAGCUGCGAGCAUCGAUAGACUCGUCUCUUCCUCCUUAUCACGCAUGUGGGAGUUGUUUACGACGAUUUGGCCGGAAAUGUGGAGAUCGAAGCCAACAUUUUUACUGUAGCAAAUUAGUCAACGCCGAUUUCCGGCCACCUCCAGUCAUAAACCCAGGUCCAUUAGAAGCGCCUUAAGCCGCUCUUCAUGCUCGCCAAGUCUCAUAACCCAGAUCGAAGCAUGGAGGAAGAAAGCAUAAUUGGAAAAUUUCACUGUACAUCGGAGUGCUUAAUUGUUCGGCUACUUCAAGGUGAUUGACGGUUUGAGUUGGUGGACGAUUGUGGAUCGUAUUUUGAGCUGAAUUGAAGACGCAGCGGGAUUAUCGAGCGGGUAAUCCUACAGGACAGGAGAACCAGGACGGUGACCGUGCGGUUAGAGCAAUUGUUAGAGUUUUACAGCAAUUGUAAGUUGUGAGGUGUGUUAUGCUCAUUUAGAGCUUUACAAUAUUGCUUGUGAGAGUGAAUUGUAAUAAUGAACUCGAGGUUUCGAGAUUUGGAGUUUGUGUACCUUGUGGUGAGAUUAUAUUGAGAAAAAAAUUCAGAACGUUUAUUUGAUUAAGUGGUUUAAUUCAUGUUUCGGAUUUGAAUUUAUUAUUCAAAAUUCGGGGCGUGACAGUUUGGUAUCAGAGCGUAAGGUGCAUAUUUGGUGAUGUGUCAAUACCUUCCGAGUGAUGGCCCGUCUGCAGCGGAUCCCCAUCGUGUGCUCUUCGGUAUUGGCUAAGUCAUUGGGUAUGCGUGA